Molecule: ribosomal RNA, 319 nt
Filed under: uncultured eukaryote
Lineage: Eukaryota
Description: partial 18S ribosomal RNA
Rfam family: Eukaryotic small subunit ribosomal RNA
Source: RNAcentral
CCCUUAGAUGUUCUGGGCCGCACGCGUGCUACACUGAGUAAAUCAAUGGGUAAGGGAACACGAAAGUGCAACCUAAUCUUGAAAUUUGCUCGUGAUGGGGAUCGACGGUUGCAAUUUUCCGUCGUGAACGAGGAAUACCUUGUAGGCGCGUGUCAUCAUCACGCGCCGAAUACGUCCCUGCCCUUUGUACACACCGCCCGUCGCUCCUACCGAUUGAGUGCUCAGGUGAGCCAUUCGGACUUUCAUCAUGCUGGUUUCCAGUUUUGAUGAAGGAAAGUCUUGCGAACCUUAUCAUUUAGAGGAAGGAGAAGUCGUAACA